CCACCUGCUCUCUGGCUGCCGCCCCGCGGCCACACAGAGAUGAUGUUCCUUUCACCUGGCCGAAGCCGGGGUUAGGGUCGGGGUCUGGAUGACCAGCACCACUCACAAACGCAGGCAGCCCCUCUGGGUCCGUGGCUGCCGGGGUCUUAGCUGGUAUUUGGACUAGACCCAGAGCGAAGAGGUGACUGUCGCUUUAACAAACCCUCUGGAAUCUCAGCUGGGACCUGGAAGGUGCUGAAAGAGCCAACCCACGCGCCUGCGUAUAGGCUGGUUGAGAGGCCCACCUCUCCCUCAUUGGCGCUAGGCCUCAACUGAGUCAUUGCUUUGUCACCGCCUUUCCCAGCGUGAAGAGGAGCAGGCAGAGCGUGAUCAGAAAGGCCAGGCCAAUGAGAAAUCGAGGAGGGCAUCGGGGGCGCACGUGCUCAGAACUCUGAUUGGAGGAUGGAAGGCACCGGCCCGGGAAAGGACCAAUGCUCUUGUAAACUGCAUGCUGAGGGUGAAUAGCCCAGCCUCCCACCCCAACCCCAUCCAGCAAGAGGCCAUGAUUUGUUCAUCCAGGGGAAAAGUGAAUUCUUUAAAAGAAAUUGUUAACUCCUCAAGAUCUGGGAGUUUGUCUUCUUAGUAUCCUCUAAGAAUUAUGAAGGUUUGAGAAAUGAAAAGAAAGAUCCAGAAGAAAUGGAGAAAAAUAACAGGAAAAUUCCUGAUUUCCUUGAAGAAAUGAUUUUUAAAUGAAAAUAAUUUAAAGACUUUUGUUCAAUGCCAG
Molecule: long non-coding RNA, 763 nt
Filed under: Monodelphis domestica (gray short-tailed opossum)
Lineage: Eukaryota; Metazoa; Chordata; Mammalia; Didelphimorphia; Didelphidae
Description: lncRNA (ENSMODG00000041223.1)
Source: RNAcentral